UGCCAGCAGCCGCGGUAAUACGUAGGAUGCAAGCGUUGUCCGGAAUCACUGGGCGUAAAGGGUCCGUAGGCGGUUUGUUAAGUCUCCUGUGAAAUUUCAGGGCUCAACCCUGAAAGGUCGGGGGAUACUGGCAAACUUGAGAAUGUCAGAGGCAGGUGGAAUUCCCGGUGUAGUGGUGAAAUGCGUAGAUAUCGGGAGGAAUACCAGUGGCGAAAGCGGCCUGCUGGGACAUUUCUGACGCUGAGGGACGAAAGCGUGGGUAGCAAACCGGAUUAGAUA
RNAcentral lists this ribosomal RNA (279 nucleotides) under uncultured bacterium. RNAcentral's name for it is "partial 16S ribosomal RNA". It matches the Rfam family "Bacterial small subunit ribosomal RNA", at positions 506 to 784 of the family's 1533-position model. The record is from RNAcentral.